AGUGAACGCUGGUGGUAGGCCUAACACAUGCAAGUCGAACGGCAGCACAGUAAGAGCUUGCUCUUACGGGUGGCGAGUGGCGGACGGGUGAGGAAUACAUCGGAAUCUACUUUUUCGUGGGGGAUAACGUAGGGAAACUUACGCUAAUACCGCAUACGACCUACGGGUGAAAGCAGGGGAUCUUCGGACCUUGCGCGAUUGAAUGAGCCGAUGUCGGAUUAGCUAGUUGGCGGGGUAAAGGCCCACCAAGGCGACGAUCCGUAGCUGGUCUGAGAGGAUGAUCAGCCACACUGGAACUGAGACACGGUCCAGACUCCUACGGGAGGCAGCAGUGGGGAAUAUUGGACAAUGGGCGCAAGCAUGAUCCAGCCAUACCGCGUGGGUGAAGAAGGCCUUCGGGUUGUAAAGCCCUUUUGUUGGGAAAGAAAAGCAGCAGGUUAAUACCCCGCUGUUCUGACGGUACCCAAAGAAUAAGCACCGGCUAACUUCGUG
Molecule: ribosomal RNA, 492 nt
Filed under: uncultured bacterium
Lineage: Bacteria
Description: partial 16S ribosomal RNA
Rfam family: Bacterial small subunit ribosomal RNA
Source: RNAcentral